Molecule: ribosomal RNA, 253 nt
Filed under: uncultured bacterium
Lineage: Bacteria
Description: partial 16S ribosomal RNA
Rfam family: Bacterial small subunit ribosomal RNA
Source: RNAcentral
UACGAAGGGGGCUAGCGUUGUUCGGAUUUACUGGGCGUAAAGCGCACGUAGGCGGAUCGUUAAGUCGGGGGUGAAAUCCUGGAGCUCAACUCCAGAACUGCCUUCGAUACUGGCGAUCUCGAGUCCGGAAGAGGUGAGUGGAACUCCUAGUGUAGAGGUGGAAUUCGUAGAUAUUAGGAAGAACACCGGUGGCGAAGGCGGCAACCUGGUCCUUGACUGACGCUGAGGCGCGAAAGCGUGGGGAGCAAACAGG